AAGAUGCUAGUAAUAAAAAUUACAUUGUCUUGUCAAGACAGAAUUGUAGGUUAGAUCCCUGCGUAUCUUA
Molecule: transfer RNA, 70 nt
Filed under: Nemichthys scolopaceus (slender snipe eel)
Lineage: Eukaryota; Metazoa; Chordata; Actinopteri; Anguilliformes; Nemichthyidae
Description: tRNA-Asp
Source: RNAcentral